Silurus meridionalis is the source of this 72-nucleotide non-coding RNA. Lineage: Eukaryota; Metazoa; Chordata; Actinopteri; Siluriformes; Siluridae. The record is from the annotation of a RefSeq genome assembly.
UCUCUGGUGGUCUAGUGGUUAGGAUUCGGCGCUCUGACCGCUGCAGCCCGGGUUCGAGUCCCGGUCAGAGAA